RNA transcript from Solanum dulcamara, 1832 nucleotides. It is a transcript of the gene named mitogen-activated protein kinase kinase 2-like, with no coding region annotated. NCBI's taxonomy places the organism in Eukaryota, Viridiplantae, Streptophyta, Magnoliopsida, Solanales, Solanaceae. The record is from RefSeq and is a predicted model, not a curated record. The transcript is spliced from 10 exons.
AUGCCCCAAAGCUCCCCAAUUUUUUCCCAUCAAAAAAUUUUAAAAAAAAUCAUAAAGGAGUGAACUUUUAACUAAAAUACAAAAUAGCCAGUUGCCUGGAAGCAGUUUCAAACUUUGAUCUUUCUCAAGAUUUCUAUAAAAGAGUGAACUUUAAGAAGAAUUACCAAAACCCCAGUUGCCUGGAAGCAACUUUUAUUUUGGGUGUUCAAGAUUUCCAUAAAAAAAAGUGAUUUUUAAGAAGAAUUCAAGAACCCCAGUUGCCCAAGAAGCAAUUUUUACUGUGUUUUUACUAGAUUUAGCUAUGAAGAAAGGAUCUUUUGCUCCUAAUCUUAAACUUUCUCUUCCUCCUCCUGAUGAAGUUGCUCUCUCCAAAUUCCUGACUGAAUCAGGGACAUUUAAGGAUGGAGAUCUUCUGGUGAAUAGAGAUGGAGUUCGAAUCGUUUCGCAGAGUGAAGUUGCUGCUCCUUCAGUUAUACAGCCAUCAGACAACCAGUUAUGCUUAGCUGAUUUUGAAGCAGUUAAAGUUAUUGGAAAGGGAAAUGGUGGUAUUGUGCGGCUGGUUCAGCAUAAAUGGACAGGACAAUUUUUCGCUCUCAAGGUUAUUCAGAUGAAUAUUGACGAGUCCAUGCGCAAGCAUAUUGCUCAAGAACUGAGAAUUAAUCAGUCAUCCCAGUGUCCAUAUGUUGUCAUAUGCUAUCAGUCAUUCUUCGAUAAUGGUGCUAUCUCCAUAAUUUUGGAGUAUAUGGAUGGUGGCUCCUUAGCAGAUUUUCUGAAAAAGGUCAAAACAAUACCUGAACGAUAUCUUGCUAUUAUCUGCAAACAGGUUCUCAAAGGCUUGUGGUAUCUUCAUCAUGAGAAGCAUAUUAUUCACAGGGAUUUGAAACCUUCGAAUUUGCUAAUCAAUCACAGAGGUGAUGUCAAAAUCACCGACUUUGGUGUGAGUGCAGUACUGGCAAGCACGUCUGGACUGGCUAAUACCUUUGUCGGCACAUACAACUAUAUGUCUCCAGAGAGGAUUUCAGGAGGUGCCUAUGAUUACAAAAGCGACAUUUGGAGCUUGGGUUUAGUUUUGCUCGAGUGUGCAACAGGUCAUUUCCCAUAUACACCACCUGAAGGAGAUGAAGGAUGGGUCAACGUCUAUGAACUUAUGGAAACCAUAGUUGACCAACCAGCACCUUGUGCACCCCCUGACCAAUUUUCUCCACACUUUUGCUCAUUCAUAUCUGCAUGUGUCCAGAAGCACCAGAAGGACAGACUGUCUGCAAAUGAACUCAUGAGUCACCCUUUCAUCACCAUGUACGAUGACCUGGAUAUCAAUCUUGGAUCUUACUUCACUAGCGCAGGACCUCCAUUGGCAACACUCACUGAGUUAUAAUUGAAUCUUUUCAGCUGGGGUGAUUUCAGCAACAUAUUGUGACCAGCCUUGUUAUGUUUUCUACAUUGUCUUGCAAGUGAUGCUCAAUCAACCAGAAUUUUGGUCAAAUAGCUUUUCCAGUCACGGCGUUCCAAAAAUUAGAAGCCUUUUAAGAAGGCAUUGAGAAUCAAAUGAAGCAGAUGGAGCCAUUGUUGUACUUUUCAAGCCUCCGGUAGGUACUUGGGAGUGUAACUAUGACAUUUUCUACGAUGCAUUUGAUUCAAAUGGGAUAAACUCCAGAUAUCCUUUUGAUCUGACUUAUUUUUUUACAUUAAUCCUUGGUGCUGCAAGUGUUUUUGGUUUACAAUUUGACCUCUAUCUAUUAGCACAUGAAGUUAUGUAUUGUCAGUGUUGAACUGAAUGUAAAAUUAUUGAGCUCCCAUUUCUCGUAAUGAUAAAUUUAGAGACAUUUCAAUGA